AUUCAAAUUUCACCCUCUUCCUGUCAACCGAUUAAUCUGAAAUUUUGUAUAAACUUUGGAUUUUGGUGACAAUACAAUUAUGUUUAUUCAUUAUCAUUAUAAAUUCAAGAUGGCCACCGCUACAAAAUGGCGGAUAAUUUAUGUUUUAUUAAUCCCAUCAAUAUGGGUAUCAAAUGAAAGGGCUCAACAAGCAGAAUACAAUAUACUAUAAAAAAUUGAAAUCAAAGAUGGCGGCCGCUACAAAAUGGCGGAUAACGUAGGUUUUAUCGAUCCCAUCAAUAUGGGUAUCAAAUGAAAGUGCUCAACCAGUAUAAUCAAUGUACUAUAUAAAAUUAAAAUCCAAGAUGGCGGCCUCUACAAAAUGGCGGAUAACUUAGGUUU
RNAcentral lists this unclassified non-coding RNA (381 nucleotides) under Melitaea cinxia (Glanville fritillary). Its description in RNAcentral is "misc RNA ENSMCXG00005019583.1". The record is from RNAcentral. Lineage: Eukaryota; Metazoa; Arthropoda; Insecta; Lepidoptera; Nymphalidae.